GCCAGUGUGGCGUAGUGGUUUGAGUGCUGGACUAUGACUCUGGAGACUAGGAUUUGAAUCCCGGCUCGGCCA
Molecule: non-coding RNA, 72 nt
Organism: Phrynosoma platyrhinos (Desert horned lizard)
Lineage: Eukaryota; Metazoa; Chordata; Lepidosauria; Squamata; Phrynosomatidae
Source: the annotation of a GenBank genome assembly